UACGUAGGGGGCAAGCGUUGUCCGGAAUCAUUGGGCGUAAAGCGCGCGUAGGCGGCCCUGUAAGUCCGCUGUGAAAGUCGAAGGCUCAACCUUCGAAAGCCGGUGGAUACUGCAGGGCUAGAGUCCGGAAGAGGCGAGUGGAAUUCCUGGUGUAGCGGUGGAAUGCGCAGAUAUCAGGAGGAACACCAAUAGCGAAGGCAGCUCGCUGGGACGGUACUGACGCUAAGGCGCGAAAGCGUGGGGAGCGAACAGG
RNAcentral lists this ribosomal RNA (253 nucleotides) under uncultured bacterium. RNAcentral describes it as "partial 16S ribosomal RNA". It matches the Rfam family "Bacterial small subunit ribosomal RNA", at positions 524 to 776 of the family's 1533-position model. The record is from RNAcentral.